Long non-coding RNA from Argentina anserina (silverweed cinquefoil), 227 nucleotides. RefSeq lists it as uncharacterized. The transcript has 3 exons. Lineage: Eukaryota; Viridiplantae; Streptophyta; Magnoliopsida; Rosales; Rosaceae. The record is from RefSeq and is a predicted model, not a curated record.
UAUAAGUCUCAAGUUGUAAGAGGGACUUUGCUUGUGAAGCCUAGUGACCACUUUUUCUGGUUUAACUGGCCCAAAUUGCUUCUCCAUAUUCUGCACUUCACACUGUAUCAGAAUUCAUUUCAAUUGGCAUUCUUCACUUGGACUUGGUACAAAUUUGGUUUGACAUCAUGCUUCCAUCGAGAAACUGAGGAUAUAGUAAUACGGCUAGCCAUGGGUAUCAUGGUACU